Molecule: long non-coding RNA, 5012 nt
Organism: Pangasianodon hypophthalmus (striped catfish)
Lineage: Eukaryota; Metazoa; Chordata; Actinopteri; Siluriformes; Pangasiidae
Exons: 6
Source: RefSeq, a predicted model, not a curated record
UUAGCAUUAGCUUAGGUAGCAUCAUAACAGCUCUUCUCACCACGGAACGUGUUGGGUUCCAGCUGACUGAAGCACCGACACAAGUUUAGAUGAUAAUGACUUAAAUCUGAGGGAGUGAAGUCGAGCGACUGGUGCUGGAGUGACAGAAAGCCGAAAUCGAAUGUGUUCUGUGGUGUGUAUAGCUGUUAGCUGUAGCUGAAACACUGUUUUGCUUAGUUUUUCUGCAAAGAAAACAGUUUUGCGAAUAUUAUUAAUUCCAAUGGGUAGCAUUAAUUUGAUGUAGGGUCUUGGGGCAAGAACACUGUUCUGGGAGCAUUAUUAUUUCCAGUGGUUAGUGUUAGUGGUGUAGGGUAAUAUAGCUGCUCUUGGGGCAGGAAAACUGUUCUGUGAGCAUUAUUAUUCCCAGUGGUCAGUAUUAGUGUGGUGUAAUGUAAUGCUGCUCUUGGGGCAGGACAGCUUAUUAUAUUUUAAUAUUUGAUGCUUUUCUAAGAUUGUUACCAAUGUUAUUUUCAAUGUUAUUUUCAAUGUUAUAUUUUCACACAUAUGUGUGUGUGUGUGUGCGUGUGUGUGUGUGUGUGUGUGUGUGUAUAUAUAUAUAGGAGGCAAGGGAGGCAGUGUCUCCUCAAAAAAUUGGAUGAGAAAAUAAUCGAUAUUGCAAAAAAAAAAAAAAACGACGCAAAUAUUACUAAAAAUAACAUUAAAAGUAUAAAAGUCACUCGUUUUUAUAAAGUAACACUGUCCAACAGCGACACCCGCAGGUAAAGUUACAGCGGAGGCUUGCCUCCCCUCAGCCCAUUGACUUAUAACAGAGACCCCAUAACGUGUCGUGGGUUUAGUGGGGGGUAAUUGAGAAUGAAUGGGGGAAGUCACGUGAGAGGAGGCCAUCGCGCUAUAAUUGGAUAUGAUCGGUUAUGAUUGGAUGUGAUAGGUUCGUUCGAUAAAUCCUGCCUCUUGUUUUCGUGCGAGCUCUCGGCCUGAAUGGACAAAAUGAUGGCGUUACUGACUAAUUAUAAAGUAAGUAAACAACUCACCCGCUUAGAUAUCACUGCUUUGUGUCACGUCAAAAAUGAAAACUUGAAAUGGCCUGAAAACGUGAUGACUUAGUUUUUAGUGAGCAUUCAGCUUGAUGAAAUGAAAGAUAUAUCUUCGUGACUGUGUUUGUGUUUACAGAGCUUUUAUGACGAUGACCCGAAAAUAAGUUGACUAUUAAAAAAACAGCUGAACAUCAGUUCACAAAUAAAAAAAUAUUAGUAACACUUUACAAUAAGGUGUCAUUUGUUAACAUUAGUUAAUGUGUUAACUAACAUGAACAAACAACGAACAUUUAUUACAGUACUUAUUAAUCUUUGUUAACGUUAGUUAAUAAAAAUACAGCUGUUCAUUGUUAGUUCAUGUUAGUUCACAGUGCAUUAACUAAUGUUAACAAACACGUUUGAUUUUAAUAAUGCAUUAGUAAAUGCUGAAAAUAAUAUUAAAUAAGAUUAAUAAAUGCUGUAGAAGUAUUGUUCAUUCUUAGUUCAUGUUAACGAAAGUAGAUAACUAAUGUUAACUAAUGAAACCUUAUUGUAAAGUGUUCGUUACCCAUGCAGUCUUACAAACUAUGAAGUCUGGAGGACUGCAAAGAAGGCAUACCAAAAUUGGAAGCAUUGGACCCUAUCCACCGUACAGGGAAAGUUUUGAAUCCCUUGUAGAAAGCAACAAAAUAUCUGAUGUGGUAAGUUCUUUGGAUAAAAUUGUCAGAGAAAUACAAAUGUAAGGCAUCCGGAACUCCAGCCUACAUUUUCAGUGUUCUUCCCUCUUUUCACAGUUCACCAUUGCUCCUCAAAAAACACGCUUUUCGAAAGCCUGACCUGACCUCACAACAUUCUUAUCUGCCCAUAUAAGUUUACUCGCAUGCCACUCUCACUUUUAGUAUGGGUAUUUCAAUGCUUUUUCCAGACUGUUUUUUUCUUUGUUCUUUGGAUGAUGCCUCCUCAGAUCAUGGAUGCCUUGCUCCAUGAUGUAUGAGGUGACCAGAUAUUGUGGCAAUUAAUACCCAUACCCUGACUCAUAUUGUAGGAGGGUGAGCAAGGGCAAGGAGCCAUUAUUUUAUCAAGAGGAACAUCUUUGAAAAUAAAAGGGAGAUUGUUGGUCCCUAUUUGGAGAGCGGGAAUCAUUGGACUUUUUUUCACUGCAGUAUUGUGAGUAUAAUGUACCUAAAAUAUAAACGUACCUUGAGGAACAGGACGAGCAGUAUUAUAAAAUAGUAGAAAACUGGAGCACAUUUGUUGCAUCAAAAAGCUAUCAUGGACCAUGGAACAGGACAAAGAGGAUCCAUACCCUUCAGUAUGACAAUAUUUCCUGUGGUGUUUUCACAGGAGUGGUAAAAUACUACUUCUUCUUCUUCUUCUUCUUCUUCUUGUUGUUGUUGUUGUUGUUGUUGUUAUUAUUAUUAUUAUUCAGCAGAAAAGACAAAUCAUUGUCAUUUUUGAGGGUCAUGACACUGUUGUGCAAUUUCUAAUGAUAUUGUAGAUUCCAUAUGGUCAGUUGUUUUUAUGGAUUUAAGAUAGUAUGGUCUUUUCAAUCUACCACAAAAUUCUGGUUGAUUAUGGAAGUGAAGGCACUCAAUACACUUUUGUAAGUGAGGCUAAACUAAAGUAAUUUUGCUGAUGUGACAUUGAAUUGAUCAUUGAAUUCAAAGGAAUUCAAACUAAAGGUUUUUGGAACUUUAGUUUGCUGAGAUCUUCCUAGAAGGCAGAUAUGUCUCUCAAAAGAUGGUGUCUAGGAAGAACAAGGCAAGUGAUGCAAAUGAGAUUUAAAAAAUUUAAAUCUACAAUUAAAGAGGCAUUCUACAAUUAAACAGAAGAUUCUCCAAUUCCAGUCCUGUAAACUCUGCCAGUUUUGUGCUUUUUUUUUUUCUUUUUUUUUUUGCCUUUCAAGACUGGAAUUGAAUAACUUUAACUUAACCAUUUCUCCUGCAAUCUAGGAAAAAUGCUCAACUUGUUUAGCAAAUAUCCAUACAAAAUAACCAUCUGGGAAUCAAAGAGGGUAAAUUUUUAUUUAUUUUUUGCCAAAGGUAGUGAAUUUUGGAAUGAAUGGCCCUUGUGCAACAUUGCAAUAUAAUUAUUCUAACUUUCUUAUAUUUUUCUUUGGAAAGUGAGCUUGUAUGAGAACGUCUAAUUCGGCACACAUUCAUAACAUCCAAAAACUGUAAAUGAUCUGCAUAAACAUGAAUGGUGUAUGUUCCUAAAUGAGUGAGCAUUAAUGAUGAUUUUGAAUUAUAACUGCAGCUCCAAAAAUGACAUAAUGAUAGUGUUCCAUAAAUGGUUCCACAUGCCAUUCAUGACCUUCACAUGACCUUUUUUUUCUUUUCUUUUCUUUUUUUUUAAAAUCACAAUAGCAUUCAGGCCUAGAACUGAGUUGUGCAUGAUCACACUGGAUGUUGACAUAUGUACAGUUAAACCUUCCAAUAUUGCAUAAUUUAAUGUCAUUUUAUACUUUGAGAGACUGAUACUUUUAUAGAAUGGCACUAACAGACAGUCUGUUAAUAUUAUUUCUAAAUAAAUGAAUUCUGGGAGAAGACAGCUCAGGAGAAAGUAAACAAGAUAACAAAGGAAUUGAGGGAGAAGACAGUUCAAGAGAAAGUAACCGAAACAACACAGGAAUUGAGGGAGAAGACAGAUCAGGAGAAAGUAACCGAAACAACACAGGAAUUGAGGGAGAAGAUAGCUCAGGAGAAAGUGACUGAGACAACACAGGAAACAACAGCGUAAGACAAAGUACUAAAGAAUAUGCAGGAGUUCAAGGAAAAAACAGCUUAGGACACAGCCAGGAAGAUCAGACUGGAAAAUGUUUAAAUAAGAUCUUAGAACAAAUACACUAACUUGUCUAAAAGUUUGCAGACACCUUAUUAUCCUACAUGUAAAUUUCAUUUUGAAAUCAAGAGUCUUAACAGUGAGUUAAUCUGCCCUUUGCAGGUGCUAUAUAACAACUUUCACCUCUGGAAAGUAUUUGCAAAAGAUGUUAGCACAUUUCUGUAGGAAUUUGCUUCUAUUCCGCUAUAAGAGCAGUAGUGAGUUCAACCACUGAUAUUAGGUGAUCUAGUCUAGCAUGCAAUUGGUCAUCCAAUUUCCUUAUCUUAACCAUGUUCUUUUUGUGUAAAGCAGUCUUUAUAUUUGGUGUUGACUGAUGUUGUGUACUGUAUGUCUCUGUGCUUUUUCUUUAUAUAGACAUAUAGACACUUACAGUGUCUUACUUCAGUAAUUGGAACAUUGUAAAAAUGGUCAUUCUACUGAUCAGAGCUUUAAGUGCUUUAAAUAAAUUCUAGCUGAUAUUUUUAGUAUCAGAAAUGAAAUUUGACAAAAUAUAUAUAUUUCAUUUGUUUGCCUAGUAAAGCCAGUUGUCACUGAAACACACUGUAUUGAAUCAGGACGAAGACAAUUCAUGAAACUAUAGAUGAGGAGGCUAAGGAGAGCACAAUGCAUUGAACAGUCUUGAUCAAUAGACAUAGUAAUUAAUUUUCAUCUAAAUUAAUGCAUACUAUGCUUUUCCGAUUGGUACUUUUACUAUUUUAGUUCCACCCUUGCAGGGGGAUUCCUGGUGGAAAUCCCCACCAAGCAAAGAGAUACCUGGUCACUUCAGAUGAACCACGGAGGAGAUGGACUCUACUGGAGAGCUACCCUGCAAACGCUGUAGUGGCUUAUCUACAGAAGGCCAAGGGACAAAAAAGACAAAUUGUAGAGAAGUUGGAAGAGUUGGAAGUGAAGCCCUCAAAGUGAACAAAGUUAACUUCACAGUGGUCCAAAAUUUGUGAAGGUAAUAAUGGAAUAGGAGUAGGAGUAGUAGAAACUAUAAAAGGAAUAAUGACACCAGUGUCCUUGUUUUGUGGUUUUGUAUCAUAAAAUUGUCAUAAUACACCAUAUAUUUGCAUUAUUUUCAAAUACUUUUUUUUGUUUGUUUGUUUAAGUACACUGUUCACCAGUACAAGAAAAAUAAAGAGAUGACAAAGAAUUUCAUGGUUUAUUUUGAUCUGC